AUUCCAUGUUCCCCCUCAGAUUGUGUUAUCUCAGCAAUAAAUUCUACAGAGAUGUCCGGGGAGCUGCCCAAAGCCUGUAAACACAUGGACACAGUUUCUAAUCAAAGGGAAUUUUUUAGAGCAAACCAUUCCUAUUAUGUUUCUUCUAAGGUUACUGUGACUGGUCUGGAGACCCAACCUAAAUCUUCUGAUGAUGAAAGGAAAUGAAGCCCACCAAAGCCCUCUUGAAGAAAUUCAUGGGAAUAAACUCCUGCAGGGCAAUGAAGGUGAAGUGACUUGCCCAGGGUCACACACCUAGUUUUGAGCUCCUUGAACAAUUCCCAGCACAUGG
Molecule: long non-coding RNA, 331 nt
Organism: Dromiciops gliroides (monito del monte)
Lineage: Eukaryota; Metazoa; Chordata; Mammalia; Microbiotheria; Microbiotheriidae
Exons: 3
Source: RefSeq, a predicted model, not a curated record